GACGAACGCUGGCGGCGUGCUUAACACAUGCAAGUCGAACGGAAAGGCCCUGCUUUUGUGGGGUGCUCGAGUGGCGAACGGGUGAGUAACACGUGAGUAACCUGCCCUUGACUUUGGGAUAACUUCAGGAAACUGGGGCUAAUACCGGAUAGGAGCUCCUGCUGCAUGGUGGGGGUUGGAAAGUUUCGGCGGUUGGGGAUGGACUCGCGGCUUAUCAGCUUGUUGGUGGGGUAGUGGCUUACCAAGGCUUUGACGGGUAGCCGGCCUGAGAGGGUGACCGGCCACAUUGGGACUGAGAGACGGCCCAGACUGCUACGGGAGGCAGCAGUGGGGAAUAUUGCACAAUGGGCGGAAGCCUGAGGCAGCAACGCCGCGGGCGGGAUGACGGCCUUCGGGUGGGAAACCGCUUUCGCCUGUGACGAAGCGUGAGUGACGGUAAUGGGUGAAGAAGCACCGGCUAACUACGUG
RNAcentral lists this ribosomal RNA (468 nucleotides) under uncultured bacterium. RNAcentral's name for it is "partial 16S ribosomal RNA". It matches the Rfam family "Bacterial small subunit ribosomal RNA", at positions 28 to 507 of the family's 1533-position model. The record is from RNAcentral.